This 518-nucleotide ribosomal RNA is filed under the name Bacillus subtilis. RNAcentral describes it as "bacterial SSU rRNA". It matches the Rfam family "Bacterial small subunit ribosomal RNA", at positions 32 to 527 of the family's 1533-position model. Lineage: Bacteria; Bacillati; Bacillota; Bacilli; Caryophanales; Bacillaceae. The record is from RNAcentral.
UCCGAAACCCUGGCGGCGUGCCUAAUACAUGCAAGUCGAGCGGACAGAUGGGAGCUUGCUCCCUGAUGUUAGCGGCGGACGGGUGAGUAACACGUGGGUAACCUGCCUGUAAGACUGGGAUAACUCCGGGAAACCGGGGCUAAUACCGGAUGGUUGUUUGAACCGCAUGGUUCAAACAUAAAAGGUGGCUUCGGCUACCACUUACAGAUGGACCCGCGGCGCAUUAGCUAGUUGGUGAGGUAACGGCUCACCAAGGCAACGAUGCGUAGCCGACCUGAGAGGGUGAUCGGCCACACUGGGACUGAGACACGGCCCAGACUCCUACGGGAGGCAGCAGUAGGGAAUCUUCCGCAAUGGACGAAAGUCUGACGGAGCAACGCCGCGUGAGUGAUGAAGGUUUUCGGAUCGUAAAGCUCUGUUGUUAGGGAAGAACAAGUACCGUUCGAAUAGGGCGGUACCUUGACGGUACCUAACCAGAAAGCCACGGCUAACUACGUGCCAGCCGCCGCGGUAAUACA